AGCUUUCUUCCACUAUACCCUUCUGCCAUGCUGUUGUUUCUCACUUCAGAACAAUGAAGCCAGCCUACCCUGGUCUGGACCUCUGAAAUUGGUCUUCCUCUGUUGCAUAGGCUGGUCUGGAACUCAGGAGCUCAAAUGAUCCUCGUGUCUCAGCCUCCCAGGUACCUGGGACUACAGGCAUGUGCCACUAUCCAUGGCUUUCACAAGGUUUUGUACAGUCCCAGUUUAAAUGGGCCUUGCCCUAAGGCAGUAUGUGUUCCUUUGCUCAUAAUAUUUCCUGAAGCCUUGGCACUGUUCCAAGUUUUCAAUCUCUGUAGGUGAAAAGAGUCACUCAUGCUGACACUAGCACCCAGGACUUAACUGUGUCUGCUUUAAUGAAUCCUCCUUCCUUUAUACCUCAGGGCAAGGUUUGUUCUUCUUGUCAGUUUGAGUCCCAUUAUCUGAGUGUCCUUGUUCAUAAAUGAUCCACCUCUCCUGUUUUGUAAACAUCUCCUUUUCCAUUGAGUCUUUCUCUUUGCUUUUAGAAAGGUCUGAGUCUUUCUCAUCUUAAAACAACUCCUCCUAAACCUGAUGACAGGCUACAGCCAUUACCAAUGACUGUCUUUUUGGUUACAACCCAGCCUAGAACUGUGUAUAUUCAUGCUCUGUAUCAUUCCUAUCACUUUUAUCCCCCAUAAAAUCUGGAUUCCAUACUACCUCUCUACACAAUUCUUCUUCCAGUUCAAUGAUGAAUUGUUCUUUGCCCAAACUGGCUCAUACCUUUUGUACUUCAUUGUAUGCAAACUCUGAAGUAUCUUAAUAAUUCUUUCUUUUUCUGACCUUGCAAAGACAAUUUUCCUGGUGUCCUUUCUUUGGAGUUGCUCUUCAGUUUUCUUUGUGAUUUUCCAUCUGUCUAAAUGUAGAUGUUCUGUAGGAUUGAAUUUCCCAGCCAGCAUGAAGAAAUGAGCCCCUCAGUCCUUGCCUGUGUUUGUUGCCUGCAGAUUUGAGCUGCUUUGUUUAUCUGUUUAUUCCAGUAGGAUGCACACAUACCAUCAAUGUCUAUGUACCUUGUCAUGGAAAAAGCUGGAAGGCAGUGUCCUGGGAUUCCAUCUUCAGCCCUCCCCAUUUUAUUUUCUAGAUAUUCUAUAGUGAUAUCAUUCACUCAAGCACUCCCCGUAGGGAGAUGAAUUCUAAAUUGCUAUCUCCAGUUUUCAUUUCUCUGUUGAGCUCUAGAUCAAUAUGACCUCACCAAACACCUCUCCUUGGAUGAUUCUCAAACUUAACAUGUCCAAUAUGAAACCUUUUAUCUCUAAUCUUGUUCCUGUCAGUGAAUGAUAUCACUAACCACAUCUGAAUGUGGAAGCGAUCCUUCUUAUAACUCUAUUACUUUCAUAUCUAAUCAACCAUCAAAUCUUUGUGGCUUUGGUUGUGUUCCAUCAUGUCUAUCUUGCUUGCCAUCAUUCUGAAGCUACUGUAGUCUAAGUCUUUUGAAUUCUUUACCUGAACUACUAUGGUAGAUCUUAUUGUUGGUCAAACAUGUGCAGCUCUUCCUUGCAGUUCACUUUCUUGUGAUGAGCCCCACCGCCUUGUGAGAAGAUUAGACAUUCUGGCUUCAAUGAAUUCAGAGAAGGUGGUCUAGGAUUUGCUUUGGCUAGAAGAAGUACAAAUGAAAGUUACCUAGAACAAGCCAAAUUGUAAAGUUUGAGGCAUGGUCUUUGAGUCCGCCAAUUGUCCCAAGACUUCCGACACCAACUCUGAGGAGUUAGGGUCCAACUAUAGUGUUAGAAGGAAGGGUCCACAUGAAGCCACGCUACCUUCUCUCAUCGACUACAUUGUUAGGAAGAUUCUUGAAACUCACUGAAAACUAUUGGACUCAUGAUUGUGGCUUAUUACAGGAGAAAUACAGCAUCAUCUCUGUGAGGAGAGAGGCCCUGGAGAAGUGGAACAGCGGAUGGGAUGGCUUUGAUGUGUAAGAUAAGAUCUGAAAUGUGGAUAAAUUACAGUUGGAGCCCAGUGGGGAUGAUGGAAGACCCUGGUCAAGCACAGGGUGGUGUGAAGACAGAUCUGGAAGAGUGUCCUUGGCAUUUUGAUGGGAGUUGUAUCAAAUCUAUAUAAUGCUUUUGGUAGUAUGGCCAUUUUGACAAUAUUACUUCUGCCUAUCCAAGAACAUGGGAGGUCUUUCCAUCUUCUAAGCCAGGGGCUCAGGCCCUCUGUGGGGCUGGCUGUGCACAAACCUCUCAAGGCUCCGGGACACCUGGCGAUGUUUCUGUGCUUUAGGAAGCUGGGAAUCAGCAACACCUUUUGAAGACAAGUGUGCACACACUAUAAAUAGGUGUCAUGGAGGAGACAAAGACUUCAUUCUGGUGAUGAUCAUUGGAUCAAUACACAUAAACUGUGAGGCAGGAUCUUCCUACAUACCCCAGACUGGUCUCAAACUCAUGGGCUCCAGUGAUCUUCCCUCCUUAGCCUCCUGAGUGCUGGCAUUGCAGGCAGCACCGGGAGAAGAAAUGGCCAAACCUUCUGUUGGAAAAGCAUUUAAAGAUUCCAAGGGCGUCUGGCUGUUCCUGGGCCCAGCCAACUACAGCAGGAAACCCUGGUGCGCAGAACGGCAGGCAGGCAUCUUGGAUCACAGGCUGCAGACGGCUUCCAGGAAUUAAACAAGAGGAACACGUGAGAGCAAUUGCAAUGGGUGUCCUGGCCACACGUCCCCAAGGAUCACAACCUCGUUAACCUUAAGGGAGAUCACAGCUACCCACCAGGAUGAAAGAAUUAAAAAAAGGUGAUCAUUUCCAAAGUGUGCUCUUCUCUAAUGGUCACCCCAAAGACCUUGAAAAGUUUCAAGCCUGAAGUUUUGAGCUGAAUCGUCUAGUAUAAAAAGUCCUUGGGAGGAAUUAAUUGGACAGCAUAAUGUAUAAGCUACAGAACAUAGAUGUUAUCUGGCAGUCCCAAAACUAGAUUAAUUAACCUCCACUCCCCCCACUAACAAACAAAUUAAACAGUCUUUAUAAAGCCAGGCCUUUGUGCUUUCACCUCUAGAAAAGAGCCCAGAGAAGCAUCUAUUGUCUUCAUAAUUGUUCUCUAUGCAAAAAUUGAAGUUUUCUCUUCUAAUCAAUUGAAAAUAGAAGCAUGAAAUAAUAAAGCUGCAGAGAUUAUUUAGUGGAUGCUGUGCUUCUCUAGAACACUUGUUUUGUUUUAUUUUAUUUUAUUUUUGGGUACCAGGGAUUGAAAUCAGGGGUAGUUGACCAAUGAGCCACAUCUGCAGCACUAUUAUGUAUUUUAUUUAGAGAUAGGGUCUCACUGAGUUGCUUAGGGCCUCGCUUUGUCUGAGGCUGGCUUUGAACAUACGAUCUUCCUGCCUCUGUCUCCCAAGCCACUGGGAUUACAGGCAUGCACCACCACAUCCGGCUUAAACACCUGUUUUAAUUUGGGGAAUAGGUUUAUGUCCUAUUUCAUGUCUAAGUCCAAAGGAGCAUGCUUGUUCCCAGGUUAACUGUAUCCUAUACAAUCUUGUCACUUUCUUCUCAUC
This is a long non-coding RNA of Marmota monax (woodchuck), 3505 nucleotides long. RefSeq lists it as uncharacterized. The record is from RefSeq and is a predicted model, not a curated record. NCBI's taxonomy places the organism in Eukaryota, Metazoa, Chordata, Mammalia, Rodentia, Sciuridae. The transcript has 7 exons.